Long non-coding RNA from Xenopus laevis (African clawed frog), 390 nucleotides. RefSeq lists it as uncharacterized. The transcript has 3 exons. Lineage: Eukaryota; Metazoa; Chordata; Amphibia; Anura; Pipidae. The record is from RefSeq and is a predicted model, not a curated record.
CUUUCAUCUGUAUACCUUCAAACAACUAAGGCAUCUUGCAUCCUAGACGAGUUGUUUCGAAUUAUUAUGCAAAUAACAGUUGAGCUUCGAUAAAACCAAAAUUAUAUUAUGGCUACAGAAGAGGUGCAGUUUAAGAGAACCAUAAAAACGGAUCUCUGGGACACAUCAUAAAAUAAAGAGUCCUUGCCAUAAUGGCUGUUAUUCUGUCCAGGGAGGAAGAACAGACAGUGAUGUUUGCACUCACUUGCAAGAAGAGAAAUGUAUUUCAACAUAAUAAAUUUUGUUCAGCACUACUACCCUACUAUUUACAAAAUGACAUAUUGUUUUUGGUUACAAACAACCCUUAUGUGUGGUGAUGAAAGUAUGAUGAAGUCCUGUGGCUUGAUGAAA